UUGAAUUAGUGCCAAACCAUCAUCACGGUACAAUCCGAUGUUUUCUUUACCAAAUUUCUUAGCGAGUGUAUUUAGCUAAUGCAAAUAAACCAAUUAGGUUUAUUUGCAUUAAAUACACUCGCUAAGAAAUUUGGUAAAGAAAACAUCGGAUUGUACCGUGAUGAUGGUUUGGCACUAAUUCA
Molecule: non-coding RNA, 182 nt
Organism: Paramuricea clavata
Lineage: Eukaryota; Metazoa; Cnidaria; Anthozoa; Malacalcyonacea; Plexauridae
Source: the annotation of a GenBank genome assembly